AGAGUUUGAUCCUGGCUCAGGACGAACGCUGGCGGCGUGCUUAACACAUGCAAGUCGAACGGUAAGCGGUGUUGAAACUCCGUGGUAUUGGAUGGCCUCGCGGCCUAUCAGCUUGUUGGUGAGGUAGUGGCUCACCAAGGCUUCGACGGGUAGCCGGCCUGAGAGGGCGACCGGCCACACUGGGACUGAGAUACGGCCCUCUACGGGAGGCAGCAGUGGGGAAUAUUGCACAAUGGGCGAAGACUGAUGCAGCAACGCCGCGUGCGGGAUGACGGCCUUCGGGUUGUAAACCGCUUUCAACGCAGACGAAGCGAAAGUGACGGUAUGCGUAGAAGAAGCACCGGCCAACUACGUGCCAGGGGUGCGAGCGUUGUCCGGAAUUAUUGGGCGUAAAGAGCUUGUAGGCGGUUUGUUGCGUCAGAAGUGAAAUCUCAGUGCUUAACACUGAGCGUGCUUCUGAUACGGGCAGACUAGAGGAAGUUAGGGGAGACCGGAAUUCCUGGUGGACGUGAUAGGCUUAGAUACCCUUGUAGUCCACGCCGUAAACGGUGGGUACUAGGUGUGGGUUACAUUCCACGUGAUCCGUGCCGCAUAUAACGCAUUAAGUACCCGCCUGGGGAGUACGGGCGCAAGGCUAAAACUCAAAGGAAUUGACGGGGGCCCGCACAAGCGGCGGAGCAUGCGGAUUAAUUCGAUGCAACGCGAAGAACCUUACCUGGGUUUGACAUAUGCCGGAAACAUUCAGAGAUGGAUGUUCACUUUUUGGUCCGGUAUACAGGUGGUGCAUGGCUGUCGUCAGCUCGUGUCGUGAGAUGUUGGGUUAAGUCCCGCAACAGCGCAACCCUUUCCUUUGUUGCCAGCACGUAAUGGUGGGAACUCAAAGGAGACUGCCGGUGUCAAAUCGGAGGAAGGUGGGGAUGACGUCAAGUCAUCAUGCCCCUUAUGUCCAGGGCUUCACGCAUGCUACAAUGGCCGGUACAAAGGGCUGCGAACCUGUAAGGGUGAGCUAAUCCCAAAAAGCCGGUCUCAGUUCGGAUUGGGGUCUGCAACUCGACCCCAUGAAGUCGGAGUCGCUAGUAAUCGCAGAUCAGCAACGCUGCGGUGAAUACGUUCCCGGGCCUUGUACACACCGCCCGUCAAGUCACGAGAGUAGGUAACACCCGAAGCCGGUGGCCCAACCGUGAGGAGGGAGCUGUCGAAGGUGGGA
This 1207-nucleotide ribosomal RNA is filed under the name Luteococcus japonicus. RNAcentral's name for it is "partial 16S rRNA". It matches the Rfam family "Bacterial small subunit ribosomal RNA". The record is from RNAcentral. Lineage: Bacteria; Bacillati; Actinomycetota; Actinomycetes; Propionibacteriales; Propionibacteriaceae.